CACACCGACCUUCCCCUCCAGCUCCUGCACCAACUCCGUACACCAAAGCGCUUCCAGCCGCCCGCACCACCCCGCACACAGCCGCCCGACGCGUGAUUACUACGAUUUCCAUUCACAACCGAACGGACACGUGCUUUUGCACAGGUGCGCUCUCGCAGAAACACGGUGUAAAUAAAACAGAGGACGACAACAGCGCACCGACGGAACGGAGCGGCGCCGGGCUCGCACCCCCCCGCCCCGCGCCGACCCCCGCCGCUCGCUGCCGGCUCCCGGUUCCCCGCUGCUUACCGUUCCCGAGCCGGAGCCCGGCGCACGCCGCAGCUCCUCGGGCGGUUCGCGUCCUCAUCGCGGCGGAGCGGAGCGGUUCGGAGCCGGCGGUUGCGCGCCUCCUGCCCGGGAGCGCCGAACAGCGCUGCCCCCGCCCCGCAGCUCCGCGCCCGCGGACAACGCCCGCCCCGGCCCCGCCCAGCCCCGGCCCCGCGGUGGAAAGUUGCGCCCGUCCCGGGGUUGGGAGCCGCUAACCCCCGACCCGGGCGGGGUCAGCCACCCGGCACGUCCCGGGCCGCUCUCCCGACGCGCAUCUUCCGACGUGGUUGGUGGCUGAGCGCUUUGGUCGGGCAAAUCCCCCCCCCGCCCGGGCUCGGCCGAGAUGCUUCGUUUCGCCGCGUCGUGGCUUUUCAAGCCGACUUCGAGGGAGAGAUUUGGCGGUGAGAAUCUGUCCCGGGACUCGGUCUGGGCAGAGGUGGGUGCUCCGCAUCGGGAUCCUCACGGUCCCACUGCAGAAACGGACGGAGCGCAGAAGCGGGAUCGGAGCGGCCCCGUCUCCAGGCACGCUCACCUCCCGCACCUGGAUCUGAAUUGGGCCGUUUUAGGGGGAACACGGAUCUCAAGCUGCGCGCCGCGGCUUGUGCGUGCUGCGCUGAGUGCAAAUCCUCCCUCGGACAGUGCCCGCAAAGCUCUCGUGCAGGCACGAGGCCGGGCCGGGCGGCUCAGGGGGAUGCUCUCCGCGCUGGGAGCACCGCUGAUGCCCUCCAGCUCCGGCUCCGCACGGCACCACGGUCCCCUCUUCCCUCUGUGUUUGUGCACGGGCUCCACGCUGUGCCCUAAGAACCCCGCAAGCAGCCGUGCUGGUGCGGACAGCUCACAAACUGAAACCAAAUGUAUGGGGCUGGGAGACAGAGUACAGAAAAGUUCACAGACAUCCUGUCACAGACUCACAGAAUGGCUUGGGUUGGAAGGGACCUUAAAACCCAUCCAGUUCCACCCCCUGCCGUGGGCUGGCUGCCCCCCACCAGCUCAGGCUGCCCAGGGUUCCAUCCCACCUGGCCUUGGGCACCUCCAGGGAUGGGGCACCCACAGCUCUGGGCAGCAGUGCCAGUGCCUCACCACCCUCUGA
RNAcentral lists this long non-coding RNA (1396 nucleotides) under Numida meleagris (helmeted guineafowl). RNAcentral's name for it is "lncRNA (ENSNMEG00000017914.1)". The record is from RNAcentral. Lineage: Eukaryota; Metazoa; Chordata; Aves; Galliformes; Numididae.